GCUCUACCACCUUGUCAAUGGCUGAUCUCCUCAGAUUUUGGAAACCAAGCAGGAUUGGACCUGGUUUGUACUUGAAUGGAAAACUGCUGGGAAUACCAGGUGGAGCA
Molecule: ribosomal RNA, 107 nt
Filed under: Periophthalmus magnuspinnatus
Lineage: Eukaryota; Metazoa; Chordata; Actinopteri; Gobiiformes; Gobiidae
Source: RNAcentral